Molecule: unclassified non-coding RNA, 274 nt
Filed under: Hevea brasiliensis (rubber tree)
Lineage: Eukaryota; Viridiplantae; Streptophyta; Magnoliopsida; Malpighiales; Euphorbiaceae
Source: RNAcentral
CUUCUCAAUGAACCUUUCAGCACCAUUCAUCUGCGAGUUCUUCAGGGAUCCUCAAGAGAAAGCUUUGCCGUAUAUGGACUUUGUAUUUGGAAAUGAGACAGAAGCAAGAACCUUCUCAAUGAACCUUUCAGCACCAUUCAUCUGCGAGUUCUUCAGGGAUCCUCAAGAGAAAGCUUUGCCGUAUAUGGACUUUGUAUUUGGAAAUGAGACAGAAGCAAGAACCUUCUCAAAAGUACACGGCUGGGAGACGGAUAAUGUUGAAGAAAUAGCUUUG